Molecule: transfer RNA, 68 nt
Filed under: Compsilura concinnata
Lineage: Eukaryota; Metazoa; Arthropoda; Insecta; Diptera; Tachinidae
Description: tRNA-Phe
Source: RNAcentral
AUUCAAAUAGCUUAUAAAAAGAGUAUAAUAUUGAAGAUAUUAGGGAGAUUAAUAUUAAUCUUUGAAUA